This 21-nucleotide microRNA is filed under the name Cordylochernes scorpioides. The record is from RNAcentral. Lineage: Eukaryota; Metazoa; Arthropoda; Arachnida; Pseudoscorpiones; Chernetidae.
CAGGAGCGGUGGAAAUGUCGA